GGGGCAGUGGGGCCAGUGGAGAUGGAGGGACGCGGGCAUCACCUCUGCUCGCCUCCAGAGGGCGCUAUGGCACAGGGCGGAAAGAAGUCUUCAACCAGCUUUCUAACCUGAGUGCUGUGUUUUCCAAGGGGAAGGACAAGUGGAGAGAGUGGAGAGGAAAGGAAAUACACAUUACAGUGAAAAAACUCCUGGUUGGGUCCCUGAAGCCACUGGCUGGUGAACUUGAGCAAGCACUUCAUCCUCUAGGGCUGUCCCCAGGCCCUUCCAGACUCCCGGACAAGCAGAGCCUGCUAAACCCUGGAAGCUGCCCUUCCACACAGCAUUUGAAAGUUCUGGAGGAAAAGAGCAGAACUUAGCUCCGCAUGUCUUUCCCUGAGGUCCUGCACAUCCUCUCCUCCUUGAAGUACCAGCUCAAAGGCGCUCCUCCUGAGAGAGUGCCCCUUGCUGGAUGACCUGCUCCUGGAGCUUCUUCACCUUGACUUUCCUCACUAAUGGAGCUGCCUGUUCCUCUGUGCUGGUUCCUGUCUCCAACUCAUCCUGGGAAGUGUUCUGCCUCCAAGAGGACCCCACAGCUGGAAGGGCCACCUUAGUCCAAGACUCAUCCCAGAGCCCUAACAAGACACAGUGACCAGGGCGGUCACCAGGUCAUCAACCUCGUCUCAUCUCUUGCCUCAAGGAUUCAGGUACCCCCCUCAGUCCCCAUUAGAAAUAAUCCCCAGCCCCUCAUUCCUCUCUCCAUCAUCUCCCAAGAGAGCGUUCUGCAUCCCUCUUCUAUCCCAUGUGGUGGGGAGUCACUCACAUUUAGAAGCUCGCAUGCUGGCUGCUGACAGUUCUCCAG
Molecule: long non-coding RNA, 838 nt
Filed under: Dasypus novemcinctus (nine-banded armadillo)
Lineage: Eukaryota; Metazoa; Chordata; Mammalia; Cingulata; Dasypodidae
Description: lncRNA (ENSDNOG00000050646.1)
Source: RNAcentral